This 468-nucleotide ribosomal RNA is filed under the name uncultured bacterium. RNAcentral's name for it is "partial 16S ribosomal RNA". It matches the Rfam family "Bacterial small subunit ribosomal RNA", at positions 28 to 507 of the family's 1533-position model. The record is from RNAcentral.
GACGAACGCUGGCGGCGUGCUUAACACAUGCAAGUCGAACGGAAAGGCCCUGCUUUUGUGGGGUGCUCGAGUGGCGAACGGGUGAGUAACACGUGAGUAACCUGCCCUUUACUUUGGGAUAACUUCAGGAAACUGGGGCUAAUACCGGAUAUGAGCUCCUGCUGCAUGGUGGGGGUUGGUAAGUUUCGGCGGUUGGGGAUGGACACGAGGUCUAUCAGCUUGUUGGUGGGGUAGUGGCUUACCAAGGCUUUGACGGGUAGCCGGCCUGGGAGGGUGACCGGCCACAUUGGGACUGGGAUAGGGCCAAGACGCCAACGGGGGGCAGCGGUGGGGAAUAUAGCGCGAAGGGCGGAGGCCUGAUGCAGCAACGCCGCGUGGGGGAUGACGGCCUGCGGGUUGGAAACCGCGUUCGCCUGUAACGAAGCGUGAGUGACGGUAAUGAGUAAAAAAGCACCGGCUAACUACGUG